GCGCUGAAACGCACAUCUGAAGGAGGAUUUAGCAGUAAGCAGAAAAUAGAGCGUCCCGCUGAAACUGGCCCUGAAGCGCGCACACACCGCCCGUCACUCUCCCCAAAAGCCUCUUCCCAUUAACUAAAGCCUAACGAUCAAAAAGGGGAGGCAAGUCGUAACAUGGUAAGUGUACCGGAAGGUGCACUUGGACAAUC
Molecule: ribosomal RNA, 197 nt
Filed under: Ocynectes modestus
Lineage: Eukaryota; Metazoa; Chordata; Actinopteri; Perciformes; Cottidae
Description: partial 12S ribosomal RNA
Rfam family: Bacterial small subunit ribosomal RNA
Source: RNAcentral